GAUGAACGCUGGCGGCGUGCCUAAUACAUGCAAGUCGAGCGAACAGACGAGGAUCUUGCUCCUCUGCCGUUACCGGCGGACGGGUGAGUAACACGUGGAUAACCUACCUAUAAGACUGGGAUAACUUCGGGAAACCGGAGCUAAUACCGGACAAUAUAUUGAACCGCAUGGUUCAACAGUGCAAGACCGUUUUGCUGUCACUUAUAGGUGGAUCCGCGCCGCAUUAGCUAGUUGGUAAGGUAACGGCUUACCAAGGCAACGAUGCGUAGCUGACCUGAGAGGGUGAUCGGCCACACUGGAACUGAGACACGGUCCAGACUCCUACGGGAGGCAGCAGUAGGGAAUCUUCCGCAAUGGGCGAAAGCCUGACGGAGCAACGCCGCGUGAGUGAUGAAGGUCUUCGGAUUGUAAAACUCUGUUAUUAGGGAAGAACAAAUGUGUAAGUAACUAUGCACGUCUUGACGGUACCUAAACAGAAAGCCACGGCUAACUACGUG
This 497-nucleotide ribosomal RNA is filed under the name uncultured bacterium. Its description in RNAcentral is "partial 16S ribosomal RNA". It matches the Rfam family "Bacterial small subunit ribosomal RNA", at positions 28 to 507 of the family's 1533-position model. The record is from RNAcentral.